This 28-nucleotide non-coding RNA is filed under the name Cricetulus griseus (Chinese hamster). Lineage: Eukaryota; Metazoa; Chordata; Mammalia; Rodentia; Cricetidae. The record is from RNAcentral.
GGGGAUAAAGGACUCAUCAUCUGGAUUU